RNAcentral lists this unclassified non-coding RNA (348 nucleotides) under soil metagenome. RNAcentral describes it as "partial contains 5.8S ribosomal RNA, internal transcribed spacer 2, and large subunit ribosomal RNA". The stretch from base 1 to 120 matches the Rfam family "5.8S ribosomal RNA", at positions 35 to 154 of the family's 154-position model. The record is from RNAcentral.
GAUGAAGAACGUAGCGAAAUGCGAUAAGUAAUGUGAAUUGCAGAAUUCAGUGAAUCAUCGAAUCUUUGAACGCACAUUGCGCCCGCCAGUAUUCUGGCGGGCAUGCCUGUCUGAGCGUCAUUUCAACCCUCAUGCCCCUAGGGCGUGGUGUUGGGGAUCGGCCAAAGCCCGCGAGGGACGGCCGGCCCCUAAAUCUAGUGGCGGACCCGUCGUGGCCUCCUCUGCGAAGUAGUGAUAUUCCGCAUCGGAGAGCGAUGAGCCCCUGCCGUUAAACCCCCAACUUUCAAAGGUUGACCUCAGAUCAGGUAGGAAUACCCGCUGAACUUAAGCAUAUCAAUAAGCGGAGGA